UUUAAGCCACAUGCAAGUCAUCCCAGCCUAACCCAGCCCACUUAAAGAAGGCUCUUCAGUGAAUAAAUAGCCCUGGCUGGGAGACGGUGGGUAGGAGAUCGCAGCUUUACUUCUGGUUCAGAUGCUAACUUACUGUGGGCUUUGGACAAAUCACCUCACCACUCAGCUUCGUCACUGUAAAAGAUGUGUCUCCUAUACGGUACAGUUCUGAGCUGAUAGAUGGAGAAAUCAUUGAUUCCAGUUGUGGCGACCUAGAAAGAGCUAAAGGAAGAAACUGAGACAGAAGGGCUGGUGGUACAUGCUGCAUCAGUGUGUGAACUUCCUUGCUACUAAACCGCAUUGACAUAGGCAGCAGGCAGGAUACAAAGCAGUGCCAGUUCCUCCCUGCUCCUGUUCCAGAUGGCUUCCAUAAUUACUUUUUGCAGAUAUGGUAACGGAACUUCAGGAUGUAAGUCAACAACAAAACGCAGCAGAUAAUAUAAGGAGAAGGAAACUGUAAAUUUGUUGAGUUUCUGAAAACACAAGACUGGCAUGAACCAAGCUUUCAGCUGGACUCCAGUAAAGUAUAUCUGAAGUCUCGAUUCAUGUUGAAUGGUAAAUGGAACCCUGGAGUUUCUUGUGUUUUAUUGUGGUUAGUAAACAUAAGUUUUGGGAAUCAUUUUCUUAAAGUUGAAGCCCAGCGUUACACAGCCAACAACACUGCCCAAUAAGCACCUCUCCCAAGAGAGAUCUUUUAUCUUCAUUCCCUUGACUGAGGAUGUUCUCUGAUUUUAUGGCAGCGUUAUCUGUUUAAAUGUAUGAACAACUUGGGAGUAAUCAUGCUUCUCAAGAAACAAUGAUGCAUCUGGAUGAGAAGUUGGGCUCACAAACUUCUCCCUCCUCAUUUCUACUGAGACGUCACUUGAGUUUCUUUCACCUCAGCUCCUCCAAGGCACUGCUGCUGAUUCAUAAGCCUUGAAGGAACAAUUCUCCCUCCAGAAUGGUAAAACCAAGGCUGAGCUAAAGGAGAUGAAAAUGAAGAUUUGAGGCAAGGAUAGAUUGCAAACUUCCAAAGGCGGAGACAACAGCUGUCUUAUUCAGAGUUCUGUCCCCCUUCUGCAGCUUCAACUGGUCAAAGUCCAGGAGACCUUAACUUCUGCCGGAAAGGAAAAACUCCUUUCAGUUUUCACUCUGUUAGUUAUGGAUCCUGGAUUUGUAGCCGUGGACCUCAGGCUGGCCACAGAGAAGUUCACAGCUCCAUUAGGCCCUUCCCAUCAACGCCUUUCUCUAGACUGUGCUUGGUAAUUGCUUGUCCUGGGAGAGCCUUCAGCUGUCCUGGGCAGAGUUGGAGCAGGAGAUCGCCCACAGCUGUAGGAUGUUCUACCUUCCCCUGGUCCUGCUUGUUCCUUUCUUUUGAAGGGACAUGUACACACCCCCACCUAUGGGUUGACCACAAUUGGAGAGAUACAGAUGGAGAACUCUCGUGGGGUAAGUAACCUGAGACUCAAAGAGGCUGAUUAAAUUCCCCGAGGACAUACAGCAAGCUACUGGCAGAGCUGAGAUCCCUCUCUGAUCUUCAGACUCCCAAUUGGAGGCUCUUUCCGUUCCAUCAUCCCGACUAUAGAAGGGAGAUUACAGACAGAAAAUUCUGUGGAGACACAAUUUUCAGAGAGGAGGGUGGUGAGGUCCUGAGGUGGCCUCUUCUCUUCUGAAGAGUGGAAGGAAAUAUGGUCAGAGGGAGGGGGAAGAAACUCUUAGUGGGCAAAAACUCCAUGCAUCAGUUACUGAGAAAUACCUCGGGUUCUCAGUCUACUCUGAGCUAAGUGAGCCCCGGAGACAGCUGAAGCCCUGCAAGAGAACACUCAAAGGGGGUCCUUUGGAACUCUUGCAACAUCUCCCUUCUCUGGCCUGUGAAUUAUGUCCCAGAGAAAUCACAGCAGGGGCAGCCAAGGUGGGAAGAGAAUAUUCCACCUUCCAACUCUAUGAGCAAAUGCCAAUUUGUCACUCCAGUCAGUCUAAUGACUAUGUUGACUAAGUCUGUGUCCAUUUGGGGGUUUCUUGAUUUGCUACUGGGCCUCUAACCAGCUGUGGGCCCUAGGGUGCAAUUGCAAA
This is a long non-coding RNA of Equus caballus (horse), 2091 nucleotides long. NCBI's taxonomy places the organism in Eukaryota, Metazoa, Chordata, Mammalia, Perissodactyla, Equidae. The record is from Ensembl.